AGUGAACGCUGGCGGUAGGCCUAACACAUGCAAGUCGAACGGCAGCACAGUAAGAGCUUGCUCUUACGGGUGGCGAGUGUCGGACUGGUGAGGAAUACAUCGGACUCUACUUUUUCGUGGGGGAUAACGUAGGGACACUUACGCUAAUACCGCAUACGACCUACGGGUGAAAGCAGGGGAUCUUCGGACCUUGCGCGAUUGACUGCGCCUAUGUCGGAUUAGCUAGUUUGCGGGGUAAAGGCCCACCAAGGCGACGAUCCGUAGCUGGUCUGAGAGGAUGAUCAGCCACACUGGAACUGAGACACGGUCCAGACUCCUACGGGAGGCAGCAGUGGGGAAUAUUGGACAAUGGGCGCAAGCCUGAUCCAGCCAUACCGCGUGGGUGAAGAAGGACUUCGGGGUGUAAAGCCCUUUUGUUGGGAAAGAAAAGCAGCAGGUUAAUACCCCGCUGUUCUGACGGUACCCAAAGAAUAAGCACCGGCUAACUUCGUG
RNAcentral lists this ribosomal RNA (492 nucleotides) under uncultured bacterium. Its description in RNAcentral is "partial 16S ribosomal RNA". It matches the Rfam family "Bacterial small subunit ribosomal RNA", at positions 29 to 507 of the family's 1533-position model. The record is from RNAcentral.